This 468-nucleotide ribosomal RNA is filed under the name uncultured bacterium. RNAcentral describes it as "partial 16S ribosomal RNA". It matches the Rfam family "Bacterial small subunit ribosomal RNA", at positions 28 to 507 of the family's 1533-position model. The record is from RNAcentral.
GACGAACGCUGGCGGCGUGCUUAACACAUGCAAGUCGAACGGAAAGGCCCUGCUUUUGUGGGGUGCUCGAGUGGCGAACGGGUGAGUAACGCGGGAGUAGCCACCCCUUGAUAUUGGGACAAAUUCAGGAAACUGGGGCUAAUAACAGAUAGCAGCUACCGCUGCAGCGUGGGGGGUGGAAAGUUUCGGCGGGGGGGGAUGGGAUGGCGCAUUAUCAGCUUGCUGGGGGGGUAGUGGCUUACCAAGUCUUGGACGGGUAGCCGGCCGGAGCGGGGGAGCGGCCACGUUAGGACUGGGAUGAGGCCCGGCCUCCUACGGGACGCAGCAGUGGGGAAGAGUGCACAAUGGGAUGAAGCCUGAUGCAGUGACGCCGCGCGCGGGAUAGGGGGCUUCGGGUUGUAAUCCGCUUUCGCAUGAGAAGAAGCGUGAGUGACGGUAAUGGGUAAAGAAGCACCGGCUAACUACGUG